ACCGGGUUGGAAGACUUGUAGCGUCGGGCUUUACGGAUUGCAAACUUUUCGGUCGGAGGAGACUUUCCUGCUAUCUUCUGCUUGAGGUGCAUGUCCUUCAUCCCAGAACUCUCUGAUUGUACGCUCACUGUUCAGUCUUUCCAACAAAUGAAAAAAACACAACACUGACCUGAAGAGCUCCACCUCGUUCUCUCCAAAAGGCCGCGCCUCUUCCUCCGGCAGCAUGCUGAGAGUCGGACACCUUGGACCAGCGGCUCUCCUGGCUCAGCAGGUCUGCGUAGAAGUAGGCCAUCUUCCAGGCGCGCUUGAAGGUGAAGCACCAC
Molecule: long non-coding RNA, 323 nt
Organism: Poecilia latipinna (sailfin molly)
Lineage: Eukaryota; Metazoa; Chordata; Actinopteri; Cyprinodontiformes; Poeciliidae
Exons: 3
Source: RefSeq, a predicted model, not a curated record